This 293-nucleotide ribosomal RNA is filed under the name uncultured bacterium. RNAcentral describes it as "partial 16S ribosomal RNA". It matches the Rfam family "Bacterial small subunit ribosomal RNA", at positions 775 to 1067 of the family's 1533-position model. The record is from RNAcentral.
GGAUUAGAUACCCUGGUAGUCCACACUGUAACCGCUGUCUACUAGCUCUUUGUGUAUUUAAUACGUGAGUAGCGAAGCUAACGCGCUAAGUAGACCGCCUGGGGAGUACGGCCGCAAGGUUAAAACUCAAAUGAAUUGAUGGGGGCCCGCACAAGCGGUGGAGCAUGUGGUUUAAUUCGAUGCAACGCGAAGAACCUUACCUACACUUGACAUGCAGAGAACUUUCCAGAGAUGGAUUGGUGCCUUCGGGAACUCUGACACAGGUGCUGCAUGGCUGUCGUCAGCUCGUGCUG